GAUAUCGCUUUUAUCCCUCCAAGGGUAAAAGAAAUGGAUAAACUUCGACCCAAAUGCUGGCUUGUACUUACUCAUCAAAUCAAAGACAACGAUAUGUUUUAUAACAACCUAGUUACUGGUUGCGUUUACAUAUGUCAAUGUGCAAGCAACUCGCAACUACAACUCACACGUCUCCGUUUGAAGAAUAUAAGAUAUUAUCGUCUCAUGAUCACUCGUGAUAAAAUCCAUGAAGUGAUUCAAAUGAGCGUUGGUUGAAUCCAAUACUCGAAUCUCAUUCCAAGAUCACUCAUGAACACUACAACCACUUUGUCCCAGACAAACUACAGACUCAUUCAUGACAGUCUUGCCUCAAUACCUACUUCCAAAUUAUAAUCGAAUGUGGAUGGUUUGAGUAACUUAGUUAUUCAGGAAGUCAAAACAUGCAAUGUGAAACACAAGAAUAAUCGAAUCCAAUAUGGUCUCAAAACUUAUGAAUAUAAAUAAAACACCUUUUAUUUAAUCACCAUGUUGAUUACACAUUAUUCAUUGCAUAAUGUUUCAAAUAAUGAGCUUAAUACUUGAAUUAAAACAAUAGUUGUCCCAUGCACACUAUGUUUUCUAAAUAAUAGUUAUACCAUACUCUAAGUAUGCACACUAUGUUUGUCUAUGUUUGUCACAGAUAUCGCUUUUAUCACUCCAAAGGUAAAAGAAAUGGAUAAACUUCGACCCAAAUGCUCGCUUGUACUUACUCAUCAAAUCAAACACAACGAUAUGUUUUAUAACAACCAAGUUACUGGUUGCGUUUACAUAUGUCAAUGUGCAAGCAACUCGCAACUACAACUCACACAUCUCUGUUUGAAGAAUAUAAGAUAUUAUCGUCUCAUGAUCACUCGUGA
This 875-nucleotide long non-coding RNA is filed under the name Lactuca sativa (garden lettuce). Its description in RNAcentral is "long non-coding RNA (LSAT_LNC002719)". Lineage: Eukaryota; Viridiplantae; Streptophyta; Magnoliopsida; Asterales; Asteraceae. The record is from RNAcentral.